RNAcentral lists this long non-coding RNA (609 nucleotides) under Apteryx owenii (little spotted kiwi). RNAcentral describes it as "lncRNA (ENSAOWG00000000721.1)". Lineage: Eukaryota; Metazoa; Chordata; Aves; Apterygiformes; Apterygidae. The record is from RNAcentral.
GGUAUAGCUGUGAAUCCUAGCAACAGGAGGAGAGAGAACUGUAUGUUUCUUCAAGUCUUCCAAGUGUUGGUGCCUUCUGGUACAUAAUUUACAGGGAGCAACAGAGACCUUGGAAAGGCCCCUCUUCCCGGUGCACGGGGAAAGGGCACAGAAGGACACAGUUUUCACUGGGUUCGAUCCUGUCGUUGUUGGACGGGAUAGCAGAUUGUAUCUACAUAGCGGUUGUGGAAGGACAGAGAGCCAGAAGGCCAGUGCGAUACUGAGAUACUGCGAAGGAGGGCCUGGAACGCGAUCCUGAACAGCCAGAUGCGACAUGACAGGUAUGGAUUUCACUAAGAUCUCUAAGCAGAAGAACCGAGUCUCAGCUUCAAAGACCAGAUCUGAAUGUGAAGUUCCUAUAUGUGUGAGGAAAGGACCAAGCCUUCAUUUUGGUUCUGUUGCGCGGGAGUCGCGGCCACGCGGUUCCAGUCCAGGGGCUCCUGCAGCAGGAAAGAUCAGCUGUUGGAGAACCCGUGCAAAGCCCUGGGGGAGAGCCAUGGCCGCAAGGUAAUCAGCAGGCAAAGUUAUUACCAUUAUGCUGCUAAUUAAUUCCCAGCUCAUUACGUUUCC